This 438-nucleotide ribosomal RNA is filed under the name Triticum aestivum (bread wheat). RNAcentral describes it as "partial small subunit ribosomal RNA". Lineage: Eukaryota; Viridiplantae; Streptophyta; Magnoliopsida; Poales; Poaceae. The record is from RNAcentral.
AUGACUAGAGACAACCUUAGGAAAAGGCAUGUGAUCAAGCCGCUGGAUUAUGUCUUCUGUGCGGAGCAAGAAACAAACCAUCAUUUAUUUUUUGACUGUGUUGUAGCCAAAAAUAUAUGGUCGUUUGUCAAUCUCUUUUUCCAAAAGAACUUGGGUGCAAACUUUGAAUCUGUGGCCUGACUCUGGGUCUCUAAUAAAAAGAAUUUAGCUUUGAACGUAGUUAGUUCUGCUGUCCUUUGGUGUUUAUGGAAAUAUAGGAACUCUAUGAUUUUUAACAACACCACUUGGACAUCUAUCAUUCAGGUGUGGAGACUGAUACACAGGAUGAUCAAGUACUGGGUGAUUCUGAUCCCAGAAGCAAGCAAAGCCCGCGAGGAAGAGUUCUUGAGUGCGCUGGCGAAGCUACUCCAGCAACCCCUGAUGAUAUCAUGUGGCUGA